UGGGGAAUCUUGGACAAUGGGCGCAAGCCUGAUCCAGCCAUGCCGCGUGAGUGAAGAAGGCCUUAGGGUUGUAAAACUCUUUCGCCGGAGAAGAUAAUGACGGUAUCCGGAGAAGAAGCCCCGGCUAACUUCGUGCCAGCAGCCGCGGUAAUACGAAGGGGGCUAGCGUUGUUCGGAAUUACUGGGCGUAAAGCGCACGUAGGCGGGUUUGUAAGUAGAGGGUGAAAUCCCAGGGCUCAACCCUGGAACUGCCUUCUAGACUGCAAGCCUGGAGGUCAGGAGAGGCGAGUGGAAUACCGAGUGUAGAGGUGAAAUUCGUAGAUAUUCGGUGGAACACCAGUGGCGAAGGCGACUCGCUGGACUGAUACUGACGCUGAGGUGCGAAAGCGUGGGGAGCAAACA
Molecule: ribosomal RNA, 402 nt
Filed under: uncultured prokaryote
Description: bacterial SSU rRNA
Rfam family: Bacterial small subunit ribosomal RNA
Source: RNAcentral